This 343-nucleotide ribosomal RNA is filed under the name Podarcis tiliguerta. RNAcentral's name for it is "12S ribosomal RNA". It matches the Rfam family "Bacterial small subunit ribosomal RNA", at positions 868 to 1377 of the family's 1533-position model. The record is from RNAcentral. Lineage: Eukaryota; Metazoa; Chordata; Lepidosauria; Squamata; Lacertidae.
UCCGCCAGAGAACUACAAGUGAAAAACUUGAAACUCAAAGGACUUGACGGUGUCCCAUAUCGACCUAGAGGAGCCUGUCCUAUAAUCGAUACCCCCCGUUCCACCCAACCCCAACUAGCAAAAUAUCAGCCUAUAUACCGCCGUCGACAGUCUACCCCAUGAGGGUUCAACAGUAGACACAAUAGCCUUAACGCUAAUACGUCAGGUCAAGGUGUAGCAAAUGUUGAGGAAAAGAUUGGCUACAUUUUUUAUGAUAAAAAACACGAAUUGCACUAUGAAACACUGCAUGAAGGUGAAUUUAGUAGUAAAACAGACAAGAGUGUCUGUUUUAACAACGCUCUGG